This 724-nucleotide long non-coding RNA is filed under the name Nicotiana benthamiana. Its description in RNAcentral is "long non-coding RNA (NBEN_LNC031773)". The record is from RNAcentral. Lineage: Eukaryota; Viridiplantae; Streptophyta; Magnoliopsida; Solanales; Solanaceae.
AUUAACCCACCCAUUCUAUUUUUUAAACCCGCCCGACCCAGUAAUAUGUUACUAUUACUGAUAUAUACUUCUACGGAAUAGCUGUAUGCAUGUAUCCUAAAGCACUGACAAAAUUGAGUCAGAACUUCAAAAUGAUAAAGAUCAGAGAAACCAAAAUUAUUAUUAAGAUUGUCUACACAAAAGAAGAUAACAGCUAAAAUAAGUCCUAAUUAACUAUAUAAUCUUUUUCUUUUUUCACCUCAGAAAGUACAAAAUAUUCAGUCUGGGUGAUACAUGAUAAAUUAUUUGUAUGAAGAGACAAAAAUCUAAAUAUACAUAUCUCAGAAGAAAAGGAUGGGACUAACAACAGAUAUACACUGGAACAUUAACUUGAUAUUUUCUUGAACAGCUACUUCCAUCUCUUCUACCAUUUCUUCAUCUGGUCAAAAUGAUCAUCAGACUCUGUUGACAUAGCAAAUGAUCUUUUACAAUGCAGAAUUGCAUCAGAAACCGCAUUUUCCAUAUCGCACCAAACAUCCCUAGAAUUAUGAUCAAAGGAUAGAUUUCUUAUAGGUGAAGCCUGUGCUGAAUUAUUCCAACUUUUCACCUUUCUCAAUCUCUUAAUUCUACUUGUAUUUCUUUGGUUCUUCUCAUUUCCAGCCCAAUCAACAACAGAAUAAGAUUUAACCAUCCGACGAGGAGAUCCCUGAAAUAAAGAAUUAGUAGUAGUAGUAGUAGUAGUACU